AUUUUUCACCUAACAAUAUAAAAAAGGCCCGGGUGUAUGUGUAAAGAUUUUCCAAAAAGUCCACUAAAAAGUCUCAGUAAAUGACCACCGUCUUGUCUCGUCUCAUUUCAUUUCAUUUCAUACCGUGUUUCAUAUUAAUCAACUUCUUUUCAUUUCAUUCCAUAUUAUCAUUUUUCAUAAAAAUUAAGAAUCUAUAUUAAAAUAAGACUUAACCUAAAGGUCUUAGUUACCGGGUCAUAAAAUCCUUUAAAAAAUAGGUCAUUUAUACCAAAUAUAUUAAGUGUAUAAUCUAUGAUUUAUACUUGUGGAAGGGAGUAGGUAAAUAAAAAUAAACAUUAUUUAGCUGCAAAUUUGUCUGUUUCACACAUAGAGAGCGUACCAUGAUAUCUGAAAUGCAAUUAGUCGUCAGCAUAAAUGAUACAAUAUUGCAUACACUGACCAAUGAAAUCAAAUCAGGCCAAAAUAAUGUAAACGCCUUACAAGAAUUUCAAAAAGAUGUCAAUUUAUUACUUACGAAGAUGAUAGGAGAUCUUCUUCACUCAGGUAACAAUGAAAUGGUUGAAGAUGAAUACUGCUCAACUGAUGAUGACCAACCACCUAUAAGCCCUAAAAAAACUAGAAAAUAAAAUUUAGUACAAACCAAUUUUGAAUAAAACAUAA
Bombyx mori (domestic silkworm) is the source of this 660-nucleotide long non-coding RNA. RefSeq lists it as uncharacterized. The transcript has 2 exons. NCBI's taxonomy places the organism in Eukaryota, Metazoa, Arthropoda, Insecta, Lepidoptera, Bombycidae. The record is from RefSeq and is a predicted model, not a curated record.